UGGGUGGUGGCUCAGUGGUAGAGCGCUUGCCUAGCAUGUGUGAGGCACUGGGUUCGAUUCUCAGUACCAUAUAA
This 74-nucleotide transfer RNA is filed under the name Marmota monax (woodchuck). Its description in RNAcentral is "tRNA.Ala". It matches the Rfam family "tRNA". From Rfam's summary of the family: Transfer RNA (tRNA) molecules are approximately 80 nucleotides in length. Their secondary structure includes four short double-helical elements and three loops (D, anti-codon, and T loops). Further hydrogen bonds mediate the characteristic L-shaped molecular structure. tRNAs have two regions of fundamental functional importance: the anti-codon, which is responsible for specific mRNA codon recognition, and the 3' end, to which the tRNAs corresponding amino acid is attached (by aminoacyl-tRNA synthetases). tRNAs cope with the degeneracy of the genetic code in two manners: having more than one tRNA (with a specific anti-codon) for a particular amino acid; and 'wobble' base-pairing, i.e. permitting non-standard base-pairing at the 3rd anti-codon position. Lineage: Eukaryota; Metazoa; Chordata; Mammalia; Rodentia; Sciuridae. The record is from RNAcentral.